AACAGUAUCCGCACCAAGCAACUUCUGCAUCGUUCGGCCCCUUGUGUCUGGAGGAGACUCGCUUUCGAAGACUGAAUCGGCCUCCCGCUGCUCGCCUUUAGCGUCGCUCACACCCGCACCGUAUAACGGGGUUGCAAUUGGUCCCUCCGCAUCAGCAGAAAUCUCCACCUUCGCUGCUGCGGAAUCGCCUGGACCUCGAGGGCUCGCGUCGCGCAGUAUGGGAACAUUUGCUCAGCCGUUUGACCGCAGGUUCCAGCACCGCUCUCUCACUCGAUGCCUCCCCUGUCAAAUGCUACCCAUUCUCACCACCCCAGGAUGGAGCCGGGCGUUUUGAUCUUCUUGUUGUAUGUGAUGAUCAUCCAGGAGCUGGUGUGCGGCUGGAUAGAAUACAAAAGGCAAGCGGCCAAGCCCAAGAAGCCAGCCCGGCCUAUCUGGUGUCCACAGUAUUCUUCUCGUUCACAUAGUGGCUCAAAGGAGUUUUUUCUAAGAAUGUAUGUGAAGUGUGGAAGCCCAGUACAUUCCAGACCUCCGAUCCAUUCCACUAAACAGGAGAAACUCAGGGACUGGAAAAAGUCUGGACGCAUCGUGAGAAAAGCAUAAACAGGUCUGAGCAUCAGUUCCCGAAGCAUCUUGAGUUCUCUCAUCCCCAGGAGCAACUUUCACUGCUUGUAUAUAGACUACCUACCACCUCCUGUGUUUGUUUUGUGAAGGAAAAAACAGCAUUGAAUUUUCAUAAUUUUGCACAAAUGUAUUCAUAGCUUUGCACAUGAAACACAAUUUAUUGUAUUAUUGAUUAUAAAUCUGUAAGUUGCAAUGAACAAAUAUGUUUUUUGUAAGUGUGCGAAACACAAAGUAAUACCACUGUGAUUAGCUGCUAUCAUCUCCACUGACUGGAAGUGACACUAGUACCAUUUUCUGUCAGAUCUUCUAGCCUCUGCAUAUGAUGUUACAAUUGUGCAGAAAGACCCAAUGCUCCUGUAAAACCAGUGGCCGGGUGGGGGAAGAAGAGACAAACACAGAGCCAAUGUUUCAACCAGAUCUUCAUACAUCAGAGGGAAACAUUGCAGUAGGACUCCAUCAAAACAAUGAACUCUUGUUUUAAGAGGUAACAAGUAACAAGGGCUCUUUCACUCCGAACACUGAAAUCAUGCUUUUGCUUUGAAAUAGAGUAUUUUUUCAUUUGAUUUAUAAAAUAUUAUAAUCAUCACUAAGUAUUAGAACACAUGGAGAUUCAAAAAGACAGAAAAAAAAUCACUGUGUUCCAGAAGAAUUUAAAAAUAUCAAAUCUGAACAAGGAUCUAGUGCUUUCCCGGUGUAUGUGAUGAAUAAAUUCUUCUUGGGCUUCCAGCCAGGUUACAGGUAUCAAUUAUGACCGAUGUUUCGAUGACAAACUCCGCCAUCUUCGUCAGGGAUGAUGCGAUCAAGGUGGCAGAACUUGUCAUCGAAACAUCGGUUAUAAUUGAUACCAGUACCUGGCUGGAAGCCCGAGAAGGGUUUAUUUGAAAUAUCAAAUUUGUUUGGCAUUUAUUGCAACAAAUAAUAUAAUAAUUCACAUGAAAUACCCACAGCCGCUGAUAGAGCACACAUGAUCUCAAUCGUUCUGAGUUCAUUACACAUCCGUGGGAACUACACCCAUUCAAGAACAAAAUAAUGUGAAGAGUCAUAAAACCAUCCAAACAAACCUUUGUGAUAAAGGCUCUAGUGCUUUGUGAUAUUACUUUGAUGUGAAUCUGGACAGUUUUGUUUUUACAUAAACACUGUACAUUUAUUGAUGCACUAAGUGAUGUAUAAGCUAUUCCAUGUGUAUUUGAAAGGUCAACUCUUUGAGACCAUUUGUGUUUUAAUUACUAACUGUACUGAUUUGAUAAAUAAAAGGCCAGUAUAGUGUUUAAGCCAAUCUAUAGGUCUCUGACUGUAGAGGAUUGUUUUAAAAUCCAAACAAUAUUGGAGGUUUCA
This is a long non-coding RNA of Mobula hypostoma (lesser devil ray), 1956 nucleotides long. RefSeq lists it as uncharacterized. The transcript is spliced from 4 exons. Lineage: Eukaryota; Metazoa; Chordata; Chondrichthyes; Myliobatiformes; Myliobatidae. The record is from RefSeq and is a predicted model, not a curated record.